CGGGACCCGCACAAGCAGCGGAGCAUGUGGUUUAAUUCGAAGCAACGACGAAGAACCUUACCAGAUCUUGACAUCCAAUUGACCAUCUUUUAAUCGAGUAUUUUGCCUUCGGGUACAAUUGAGACAGGUGGUGCAUGGUUGUCGUCAGCUCGUGUCGUGAGAUGUUGGGUUAAGUCCCGCACGAGCGCAACCCUUUGUGUUUAGUUGCAAACAGGUCAAGCUGUGCACUCUAGACAGACUGCCGUGGACAACACGGAGGAAGGUGGGGAUGACGUCAAAUCAUCAUGCCCCUUAUGAUCUGGGCUACACACGUGCUACAAUGGCCGGUACAACGGGCAGCGAAGGAGCGAUCCGGAGCGAAUCCUAAAAAGCCGGUCCCAGUUCGGAUUGCAGGCUGAAACUCGCCUACAUGAAGUUGGAGUUGCUAGUAAUCGCGAAUCAGAAUGUCGCGGUGAAUGCGUUCCCGGGUCUU
Molecule: ribosomal RNA, 472 nt
Filed under: uncultured Fusibacter sp.
Lineage: Bacteria; Bacillati; Bacillota; Clostridia; Eubacteriales; Fusibacteraceae
Description: bacterial SSU rRNA
Rfam family: Bacterial small subunit ribosomal RNA
Source: RNAcentral